GUCGUGAUGGAACCAACUUUUAUCUCGUAAAUUACCCCACUAAUAAUGCUCUGAAUGGUACGAAACAUCUACAGUACUACAACUAUGACCUUUAGUCCAACUUUGUUUGACUAUAUUUCCAGGUUUCAAC
This is a long non-coding RNA of Alosa sapidissima (American shad), 130 nucleotides long. RefSeq lists it as uncharacterized. Lineage: Eukaryota; Metazoa; Chordata; Actinopteri; Clupeiformes; Clupeidae. The transcript has 4 exons. The record is from RefSeq and is a predicted model, not a curated record.